RNAcentral lists this ribosomal RNA (521 nucleotides) under uncultured bacterium. RNAcentral describes it as "bacterial SSU rRNA". It matches the Rfam family "Bacterial small subunit ribosomal RNA", at positions 791 to 1318 of the family's 1533-position model. The record is from RNAcentral.
UAGUCCACGCCGUAAACGAUGGUUACUAGCUGUUCGGACUUCGGUUUGAGUGGCUAAGCGAAAGUGAUAAGUAACCCACCUGGGGAGUACGUUCGCAAGAAUGAAACUCAAAGGAAUUGACGGGGGCCCGCACAAGCGGUGGAGCAUGUGGUUUAAUUCGAUGAUACGCGAGGAACCUUACCAGGGCUUAAAUGCAGAGCGACCGUUCUGGAAACAGAACUUUCUUCGGACGGUUUGCAAGGUGCUGCAUGGUUGUCGUCAGCUCGUGCCGUGAGGUGUCGGGUUAAGUCCCAUAACGAGCGCAACCCCUAUUCUUAGUUGCCAGCGAGUAAUGUCGGGGACUCUAGGAAAACUGCCAGUGUAAGCUGUGAGGAAGGUGGGGAUGACGUCAAAUCAUCACGGCCCUUACGUCCUGGGCUACACACGUGCUACAAUGGUUGGUACAGAGGGCAGCUACCCAGUGAUGGGAUGCGAAUCUCUAAAGCCAGCCCUAGUUCGGAUUGAAGUCUGCAACUCGACUU